This 940-nucleotide non-coding RNA is filed under the name Aplastodiscus eugenioi. RNAcentral describes it as "partial 12S ribosomal RNA". It matches the Rfam family "Bacterial small subunit ribosomal RNA". The record is from RNAcentral. Lineage: Eukaryota; Metazoa; Chordata; Amphibia; Anura; Hylidae.
AACACAAAGGUCUGGUCCCAGCCUUGAAAUCAAUUGCUACUUUAUUUAUACAUGCAAGUCUCCGCACCCCUGUGAAAACGCCCUUUAACUCCCUUUAGGAACGAGGAGCUGGUAUCAGGCUCAAUUAAUUAGCCCAAAACACCUAGUCAUGCCACACCCACAAGGGUAAUCAGCAGUAAUUAACAUUGAAAAUAAGCGCUAGCUUGACUCAGUUAAAGUAUAAAGGGCAGGCAAAUACGGUGCCAGCCGCCGCGGUUAUACCAUGAGGCCCAAGUUGAUUUCUACCGGCGUAAAGCGUGAUUUAAGUAAAACAAAAAUGCAGUUAAACUGUCAUUAAGUUGUGAUAAACUUAUGUACAAGGAAACCCAAAAACGAAGGUCACUGCACCCCAAACAGCUUGAACUCACUACAGCUAAGACACAAACUGGGAUUAGAGACCCCACUAUGCUUAGCCCUAAGCCUUUAAUUACAUCUCAAACGCCAGGGAACUACGAGCAAAGCUUAAAACCCAAGGGACUUGACGGUACCCCAUAUCCACCUAGAGGAGCCUGUCCUAUAAUCGAUAACCCCCGUUCAACCUCACCACCUUUAGCUUAUCAGCCUGUAUACCUCCGUCGUCAGCUUACCGCAUGAGUGCCCUAAAGUAAGCUUAAUGUCCUCACCCGUCAAUACGUCAGGUCAAGGUGCAACUAAUAAGAUGGGAAGAGAUGGGCUACACUUUCUAAGAUAGAACAUACGGAGAACUAAUAUGAAAUCUAGUUUAAAGGCGGAUUUAGCAGUAACAGGGAUAAUAGUGCCCCUUUUAAUCAGGCCCUGGGGUGUGUACACACCGCCCGUCACCCUCCUCGCAGCUCUCGUACAAGUAUUUAACAAAACCUAGUAUUGUAGAGGAGGUAAGUCGUAACAUGGUAAGUGCACCGGAAGGUGCGCUUGGAACAAA